Molecule: non-coding RNA, 7055 nt
Organism: Podarcis lilfordi (Lilford's wall lizard)
Lineage: Eukaryota; Metazoa; Chordata; Lepidosauria; Squamata; Lacertidae
Source: the annotation of a GenBank genome assembly
CAUGCUGGCCACAUGACCCAGAAGCUGUACGCCAGCUCCCUCGACCAAUAAAGCGAGAUGAGCGCCGCAACCCCAGAGUCGGCCACAACUGGACCUAAUGGUCAAGGGUCCCUUUACCCUUUAAGGUUAAAAUGAUAAAGGACCCCCAACCCCUGGACGGUUAAGUCCAGUCAAAGGGGACUAUGGGGUUCCGGCACUCAUCUCAUUUUCAGGCCGAGGGAGCUGACGUUUGUCCACAGACAGCAUGACUAAACUGCUACUGUCGCACGGAGGGCAGUGACGAGUGCCAGAGCGCAUGGAAACGCCGUUUACUUUCCCGCCGCAGCAGUAUCUAUUUAUCUACUUGCACUGGUAUGCUUUCAAACUGCUAGGUUGGCAGAAGCAGGGACCGAGCAACGGGAGCCAGGUCAAAAUUCCAGCCUUAGCUAUACUAAGUAAAAGCCCAUUGAUUUUACUGGGCUUACUCCAAGUUUGAAUCCAGCGCCAGGUUUCUCUAGCUCUAAGUCCAAUGUACCCACAGUAAUUUUUUAAAAAAAUUACUAGAAAUUUCAUCACAAUAAUUUUAACAAAAAUACAUCAUCCACAUUAUUUUCCCCCCUCCAUUUUUUUUCACUCCCCCCCUAAACAAAAAAACCCCAACCUCCCACCACUACCACCCCGGACUUUCCUCAGCUCCUUCCUCUGGUUUCUCAACACAUCUUUCUGUCUGCAUGUUGUAAAAUUGUAAAGAUCCUCAAAUUUUCUAUCUAUAUAUUACAAUAAAGAAUUUGUGAAGCACCCACAGUAAUUUUAAUAUUCUUUUAGAGUAGGGCUGUUCCCCACCCCCACCAACCUCUUCAAAAAAAUAUUAGCUGAACUAAGUUUCAGUCAGUUUAUUAAUCAAAUAAAUCUGCUUAGAAUGAUUGUUUCGAAGGAGCAAAGAAUUGUUUACGACAAUGUACAUAGAUGUCCAUAAAAGCAUCAUACUGGAGCUCACAUUUUCUCCCGUGUGAGAUUGGAGAAGGACUUAACAAUGAUUGUUGUAGUAAUAAUACAUUUAUAUCCCACAGUUAAUAAUGACUGUAGUCAUUGUCAUUGUUGUAGUAAUACAUUUAUAUCUGCGAAGAAUGCCUUUAGUGAAAAGGUGAAAUAGACAUUUUGUUACAGUCCUAGUUUAUAUGUCUGUUUGUCUGUCUGUCUGUUUGUCUGUCUGUCUGUCUCUCCACAUGUGUGUCUAUGUACUCUCAUCACAAUAUGAGGAGCUUGGGAUUGUAUUUCAAAAAGGAAACGUCUCGAACAAAAGCAACGUGGAGCCUUGUGGAGGUUUUGAAAGAACAAGUCGCUCCUUCCAUGGAAUGUUGAAGGAGCAAAACACUUUAAUGCACAUUGAUUAAACAUUUGGAUUCAACUGUUCGAUACCUCCCAGCAUUUCAUUAUCAAAAUGUUACCAUCUGUGAAGCGGCAGACAAAAUAUAAUAGCAAAAAAUUUCUCAUCUCCCUUGAAUCUCAUUUGGUGUGCCUUUUGUUCAGCAAGUUCAUCAAUAAUCUUCUUUAAAUAGUCUUGCUUGGCUGUUUUUCAACAGGCAAAUGUUACCAGGCCCCCAAGCGCCUCUAUCUCUCAUCACAACAGCAAUCUGAGACGGCGAGUCUGUGCACAUUUACUUAGAAACAAACUCCACUGAACUCCAGAGGACUUGAUCUUCAACGGCGCCCAGUAUGUUUCCAAGUACAAUUCACAGUGUUGGUGCUGACCUUUAAAGCCCUAAAUGGCCUCGGUCCUGUAUACCUAAAGGAGCGUCUCCACCCCCAUCGUUCUGCCCGGACACUGAGGUCCAGCGCCAAGGGCCUUCUGGCGGUUCCUUCGCUGCGAGAAGAGAGGUUACAGGGAACCAGGCAGAGGGCCUUCUUGGUAGUGGCACCCGCCUUGUGGAACGCCCUCCCACCAUUAAACAAUAAACAACUACAGUGGUACCUCGGGCUACAUACGCUUCAGGUUACAUACGCUUCAGGUUACAGACUCUGCUAACCCAGAAAUAUUACCUCGGGUUAAGAACUUUGCUUCAGGAUGAGAACAGAAAUCGUAGGGGGGGCCACUAGGGGGCGCAUCGGAAGAUGGCUGACAAUAACAUCUCUCCGACCCACACGAGGUAAUUUGGAGGCUAUGAUGGGAGUAAUUAGCCUCCCUAACCCCCCCAGGACGGUGGGGGGGACUGCCCUUGCCUGCUGUGCCCUAUACCACCCCCGAAAUUGUGGGGAUGGGGGCACUAGGCACAAAGCCCUCCUGUGGGAUUCCGGCACUUCUGGACACCGUCCCUGAUUCGCGCCACUAGCUGCAAGAACUUCAAAAGAAAACAAUUUGGAUAAAGGAAUGCACAUAUUUCAAGGAAGGAGGGGAGUAAAGACUGCUAUAGAAGAGAUCUCUGAUAAAACAAGACAAGAAUAAAACAUGAGAAGAUACGCCAAGACACGGUAUGGCAAAUGACUGAUGGGGGAGGGGGGGAAACUUUCCUUUCUUUUCUUAUGUGAUUAACAAGAAUCCCCUCCCCUCACGAGUUACGAGUCAGAAAUGUCGUUUUAAGGAUUUAAGCUGUGGAUUUAAGGCUGUGUGGAGAUAAACUUUCGAACCAAAGCAUGUUUUAAGAAGAGCGAGGAAUGUAUAAGAGCUUGGGAAUGACGCAGUUAAAAAUGCCGUUGCCAUAUUGGGAAGUUCUGUCGGAGGUCUUGAGUCUGGGAGGAGAAAGAGAGAAAUAGAGCUGUUUAUAUAUUGUGGGUGAAACUCCUCAGAGGGACUCAGGAGCGACAGUUGGCGAGAUGGGAAGAGUGAUGUUAUCUAUGAAGGCGAUGAUAUAUGGAAACCAUCUCGAUUUGAGGAAUGGAAGAACGGAAAAUUCACACAAGAUUAUUAUUAUUAUUGGUGUUUAUCGGCUUAAGGAGACUAUCAGAAGAGAUCAUAAAGAAAAAAGAGAAAAUAUAUAAACAAGAUGUGAUGUGGAAACAGCAAGAUAAGACUGGAUAGAAUUAUCAACUUUGUUUGGACUGAUUUGGACAUUAACGCAGUAGCAAGAAGAUGAUCAGAAUCCCCCUUCGGAUCUUGAAAUAUGGGUCCCCCCAACAAAAUUUAAAAUUUGGCUUUGUAAUUCAGAACUUAUGUGAUGUGAUUUAAUUUGAUUUGAUUGGCCGGUUAAUAAAAAUUAUUGUUUUUUAAAAAAAGAGAACAGAAAUCGUGCUCCGGCGGCACGGCAGCAGCAGGAGGCCCCAUUAGCUAAAGUGGUGCUUCAGGUUAAGAACAGUUUCAGGUUAAGAACGGACCUCCAGAAAGAAUUAAGUACUUAACCCGAGGUACCACUGUAUUUUACUUUUAAAAGACAACUGUUUAGGGAAGUUUUUAAUGUCUGACGCUGUAUUGUUUUUAAUAUUCAGUUGGAAGCCGCCCAGAGUGGCUGGGGAAACCCAGCCAGAAGAGUGGGGUAUAAAUAAUAAAUUAUUAUUAUUGCUGUUGUUUCCAAGCACUGGCGGAGGAAGGGGUGUGUGGUGGGUGCGGCCUGCCCCGGGUGUCAUCCCUGAGGGGCGGGGUUGACAUAGCUACCCUGCCCACCUGGGAUGCUAGCCCCGCCCCCGGGUGCACAGCUAGCUCCGCCUCUGCUUCCAAAAGGGCCUGGUGAAAUCCAAGGAUUUUAUAAAACCGUCACAGUUGUGCAGCCAGCUUCCAGCAGCAGGUCAUUCCCAUUGGGUUGGACCCUGAAGGGGGAACAACAAAGGAAUUUGAACCUUUGUCAUUUUGUGUUUGGGACAAAGGCAAAGGUAUCGCCCUGUUUGAUUUUGAUUGCUUUUUGUCUGGUUUGGUUUUGUGUCUGGGAAGAUGAGUGGUAUGGCCCUAAGUUGCGGUUAUGUGUAUUGCUUUCCCCCCUUACUUGUAUGUUAGCAGUCAAAGGUCUGGUCAAGGUAUGAGAGACUCACACUCCCUGCUGAGCUUCUGGUGCAGGACUUAAGACUUUUAUCAUUCCAGCAGGCACUGUCAGGUAGCACUUGGUUUUACAAUACAGUGGUACCUCUGGUUAAGAACUUAAUUCGUUCUGGAGGUCCAUUCUUAACCAGAAAGUGUUCUUAACCUGAGGUACCACUUUAGCUAAUGGGGCCUCCCGCUGCUGCUGCUGCUGCUGCUGCUGCUGCCGCUGCCGCUGCCGCCACUGCCGCACAAUUCCUGUUCUCAUCCUGAAGCGAAGUUCUUAACCCGAGGUACUAUUUCUGGGUUAGUGGAGUCAGUAACCUGAAGCGUCUGUAACCCAAGGUACCACUGUAAUUAUUUAUUGUUCUAAACAUCAGGAACGUUUCUUUUGGGAAAUGUCAGCCAGUCAAAUAAACCACACACACACAAAAUGAACUUUCCUUGGGCAACAGUUACAUGUUUUUGAAGGUUUCCUCCAUUAAAGGUAAAGGGACCCCCAGUCGUGGCCGACUCUGGGGUUGCGGCGCUCAUCUUGCUUUAUUGACCAAGGGAGCCGGCGUACAGCUUCCGGGUCAUGUGGCCAGCAUGACUAAGCCGCUUCUGGUGAACCAGAGCAGCGCACAGAAACACCAUUUACCUUCCCACCAGAGCGGUACCUAUUUAUCUACUUGCUCUUUGACGUGCUUUCGAACUGCUAGGUUGGCAGGAGCAGGGACUGAGCAAUGGGAGCUCACCCCGUCACAGGAAUUCAAACCGCCAAGUCCUAGGCUCUGUGGUUUAACCCACAGCGCCACCCAUGUCCCUGUGUUUCCUCCAUUAGCAGGUGACAAAUUUUUAUUCAGCCGUGUGUAUAAAUAGCUCCAUGUUUUUUCAUGAUGAUUCAUUUUUUUAACCAGCAAUUGCUUUGCAUGUUUUUAUUGCAAUGAUUGGAACCCAACACUUGGUCGUUCCUUCAACUUCACAUCUAUAUUGAGAUUCGCAAAGGAAUCGGCAAUAUUCAACUCUGCCUGCUUGCCGUUCCCAAUGACGGAUAUGUAGAUAGGAUUAACAUAACAGUCUGCCUUUUCCUAGUGCAGUUUGAUCUUCCAUGCAUUUUUCAUAUUCUAUUGUAGAUAGAUCAUAUCCUUCCGUUGCGCAAACUGAUUGAUUGCUGUUUCUCUCCAAUGCACCCACACCCCCUUGGUGACUGGAGGGCGAUAAAUUAUUGAAAUAAAGACAUUUAAAGAUAGGGAAGUCCCCCUAGAUCAUCCGCACCCCUAACUGUACUCCCCUCCACCCUCCCAGCAACUCACAAUUGCAAUGAAUUAUUCUCAGCUAGUGUCUUGCUCUGCUUGCUUCCUGCAGAGUUAUCAUGCGCUGUGCAAGGUUGCUUUUCUCGUCUUUGAGAUAGGUAUGGCCCAGGGUUCCUUGUCUCUGCCUGCAGAGGCCAGCAGGAGCUGAGAAUUAUGAGAAUUCUCUCCCCUCUGCUCACGGUCUGCUUCGCUCAGCAAAGUACAGCAAGAGGCAGAAGAACGCAGGAUUUUAGUCACUGCAACUUCCUGAAGCUGUUUCCGCAGCAGAAGAAGUGGUUGCAGCUAAAAUAUGAGAUCACCCGCCCUACCCCUACUGCUGCUCGCAUCAGUAGAUCCUUUUCGUGUGAUAAAGGCUUUGAAACAAAAUAAAUUUAAAAAUUCCUUCCAGUAGCACCUUAGAGACCAACUAAGUUUGUUACUGGUAUGAGUUUUCAUGUGCAUGCACCAAAUAACAAACUUAGUCGAUCUCUAAGGUGCUACUGGAAGGAAUUUUUUUAUUUUGUUUCGACUACGGCAGACCAACACGGCUAGGUACCUGUAACUAAAGCCUUUGAAAAAUUCCAAAAUCCACAUUAGGGCAAUGCCUUUCUUGGGCCGGCCAAAAUAUCACAAAUGGGUGUGCCAGCUUUUACCUUCCUCAAAAUUCUUCUUCAAACCACUGGCUGAAGGUCACCUGAGCACUUGAUGAAGAGUACUGGAGAAUUCAAAAGCUUUCUCAUUAUUUUGGGAUAUACUUUAUAAAUUGGGUAUUUUGCUAUGGUGUGUGUGUAUGUGCAUGCGUGUGUGCGCGCGCGCAUAGAUAGAUAGGUAUGCACACAUGUUAUGCUUUUUGGACACUCCUUGACAGCAUGGCUAUGGGGGCUGUCACUAACAAAUCCUGCAUUUCAGGAGUGACCCUCAUACUGCUGCUUUUCAAGACCCAACUUGGCCCUCUCCAAAGACUUUCUCCAGCAUGUCAGAGCCUGAGACGCUUGGGAAGGAGCAUUGUGAUGUCAUUGAGUGGGGCGUUGUGAUGUCAUGGGGCUGCCAACUCCUGAACAUCUGGAAAAUAAUCCAAAUCCAAACUCUGCAGAAUAAAUCAUGCGAAACAGGAAAAUCACACAGUUGUGCUUAUUCAGGAUGCAGAAUCCAACUUCUCUUAAUGCAGAAUUUAGACUGAUCGCCUGAAUGAGGUUUUGUUUUGUUUUGGGUUUUUUAUUGCCAAAAUAUACACACUGGCAGUGGAACGGGGGGUGGAGAGAGCGCAUCGCCCCCAGCACCAUGCCCCCGUGGGCAGCAUGCCACACCCCCAGAAUGAACACCAUGCCCCUGGGGUGCGGGCCAGCCACGCCCCCGCCUGCUCUCCGCCCCCAGGGCCGGAGCAUGCAGCUUUGCCACUGGAUAUACACCCUGCCCCAGACUCUCCGAGUGUCCCUGUUUUCCAGGGACGUCCCAGAUUCACAGAAGCCCUCCCGGUUUCUGAUUUGAUCCCAGAAUGUCCCGCUUUUCCUUAGGACGUCCCUAUUUUCACCGAAGAAACGUUGGAGGGUACCCUUCCCUACCUGCAGCCCCCAUCCCCAGGAUCAGAGCAACUCCACCGAUGGCUGACAAAUAAUUUCUUCCUUGCCCCCUUUUGGAGAACAGCUCAGCCAGUCACCAACAGAAGCUUCGUCCAAUGGAAUAUCGCCAUGCAUCAUAACAGAGACAAAGACUGGCAGCAGCCCACAGUGGCUGUGCUAACCUGUGACCCUCCAAACAUUGCUACUCCAAUUCCCAUCAGUGCCAGCCAGCAUGGGCAAUGGUCAGGGAUGAUGGGAGUUGUAGUCAUGCAUCCCUUGGCAGGCCACACCUUCGCUGCC